GACGAAGGAUGCAAGCGUUAUCCGGAUUCAUUGGGUUUAAAGGGUGCGUAGGCGGCCUGGUAAGUCAGUGGUGAAAUCUCCUCGCUUAACGAGGAAACUGCCAUUGAUACUGCUAGGCUUGAGUACAGAUGCUGUGGGCGGAAUAUGACAUGUAGUGGUGAAAUACAUAGAGAUGUCAUAGAACACCGAUUGCGAAGGCAGCUCACAAAACUGUAACUGACGCUGAGGCACGAAAGUGCGGGGAUCAAACAGG
Molecule: ribosomal RNA, 253 nt
Filed under: uncultured bacterium
Lineage: Bacteria
Description: partial 16S ribosomal RNA
Rfam family: Bacterial small subunit ribosomal RNA
Source: RNAcentral